UGGUUUGAUAAUGACAGGUCUGGUCUGAGGAGAGAGACAGGGUUGGUUUGAUAAUGACAGGUCUGGUCUGAGGAGAGAGAGAGAGACACAGGGUUGGUUUGAUAAUGACAGGUCUGGUCUGAGGAGAGAGAGAGAGACACAGGGUUGGUUUGAUAAUGACAGGUCUGAGGAGAGAGAGAGAGACACAGGGAUGGUUUGAUAAUGACAGGUCUGGUCUGAGGAGAGAGAGAGAGACACAGGGUUGGUUUGAUAAUGACAGGUCUGGUCUGAGGAGAGAGAGACAGGGUUGGUUUGGUAAUGACAGGUCUGGAGAGAGCGACAGGGUUGGUUUGAUAAUGACAGGUCUGGUCUGAGGAGAGAGAGAGACACAGGGUUGGUUUGAUAAUGUGAGGUCUGGUCUGAGGAGAGAGAGAGACACAGGGUUGGUUUGAUAAUGUCAGGUCUGGUCUGAGGAGAGAGAGAGAGAGAGACAGGGUUGGUUUGAUAAUGACAGGUCUGGUCUGAGGAGAGAGAGAGAGACACAGGGUUGGUUUGAUAAUGACAGGUCUGAGGAGAGAGAGACACAGGGUUGGUUUGAUAAUGUCAGGUCUGGUCUGAGGAGAGAGAGAGACACAGGGUUGGUUUGAUAAUGACAGGUCUGGUCUGAGGAGAGAGAGAGAGACAGGGUUGGUUUGAUAAUGACAGGUCUGGUCUGAGGAGAGAGAGAGAGACACAGGGUUGGUUUGAUAAUGACAGGCCUGGUCUGAGGAGAGAGAGAGAGACAGGGUUGGUUUGAUAAUGACAGGUCUGGUCUGAGGAGAGAGAGAGACACAGGGUUGGUUUGAUAAUGACAGGUCUGAGGAGAGAGAGACACAGGGUUGGUUUGAUAAUGACAGGUCUGGUCUGAGGAGAGAGAGAGAGACACAGGGUUGGUUUGAUAAUGACAGGCCUGGUCUGA
Long non-coding RNA from Oncorhynchus keta (chum salmon), 937 nucleotides. RefSeq lists it as uncharacterized. Lineage: Eukaryota; Metazoa; Chordata; Actinopteri; Salmoniformes; Salmonidae. The record is from RefSeq and is a predicted model, not a curated record. The transcript has 3 exons.